UGGGAAGAUGCUGUGCCUCGAGGAUUAGUUUAAACAGGGGCUAUAAAAGAUGUAACAGAUGCAAACUGUAACACAAGGGCCAUUAACCCUUUCUCUGCCGAGCACACUCAGUCCCCACGCCCCGCACCUAUUGUCUCCUGUGCUAGAAGCUUUGCAGAAAACCUGGAAAGUGAGUAUCAGUUUCCAGACAUUCGCUGAGAGGGGAGGGGGGCAGAGAGAAGGGGAAGUGGAUGAUUUAGAAAGCACCUUGAAUUCAACCUAGGCAUAGGGAGUGACUUUUAUGUUUGACACGUUUUGUCAUUUCUUGGCGUUCUAUUGAUUUGAAAUGGUUGGGGAAAAUCCUGAAAUAAGGGAACGGUCACACAAGUGUCUGGGAUGAAACAGCUGGCCUGUCUGUAUUCAUGCUGAGACUUACACACGAUUGCAUAUAAAUACAUGUUUAAUAAAGUAAGCUGCUAGUUUUAUGAGCGUGUGUGUAUGUGAGAGAGAGAGAGAGAGAGAGAGAGAGAGAGAGGGCAUUUGUGCUGUAAACUUUAUCUUUGCCUGUUAUUUCUAACUCUGGAGUUAGUAAUCUUGCCUUCAUCAUUAUAGGGGGAGCAUGUAAAAUACAUAAGUAGGUGGGAGAUAAACACAUUCAUGUUAGCCGGGCUCAUCACUGUUCCUGGGAACUUCUGUUAUCUCUCUCGACUUUUCAGUGCCAAAGUAUGGAAUGGGAUAUGUGUGUGCAUGUGUCUCCUGCUAAAUCCAUGUCUAUAUUACUUUGCCAUUUAAAAUACAAUUUCAAAAGUUAUCCUUAAUUUUAAAACUCUGAUAUCCUGACAGCAGCUUUCUUCCCAGCUGUAGUGACCCCCCCCCCAACACACACACACUUUGGUAAACGACUCGAGUUCCAUGAGGACUUUCACUUCUUUAUUUAUCAUCACAGAAGUGAGGUGUUACUUCACAUACAUACACACACAAAGAAUAAAAUAAAGAAAUGAAACUCGCUAAGCAGACAAAAACAGGCAACUUUCUGCUUAGAAAACAGCCUUCUCGGGUGGGAGAGGAUGCACUGCCAUAUCUAAGAGAAAGACUUGCCCCUGAAUUUGGUAGGUUUGUAUCGAUCAAGUUUUGUAAUUAUUCACAGGUAUUUGCCAAGUUUUAAUUGCUGAAUACAAUGAAUUGGCACUAGAUGCAAAAAUAGAGCAGAAUCUCUCCCCUUGAAGAGUUUUCAUUCCACCAUAUAGUUCUCAAUAAAACUUUUCCUAGGCUGGGUAGCAAAAGGCACCUUUGGUUACCUGAAUGGACAGGUACAGGGCAAAUUAUUUGGGGGAGGAAAAAAGAAGAGAAAAGGAAAGAGAGAGUGCCGGAGAGCCAGAGAAAUCAAAGAAGUCACUCUUGGGAAAAGCUUGCCAUAAAGGAGCUAAACCCACCUGAAAUUCCUGCCCACAGACACUCCUUCUCACUUCAGACUCACAUCCCCACUUAAAAGGAGAAAAAUCAUAAAAGGAGGGUGGGGGAUGACCAUACCAAAAGGGAAUAAAAAGAGAGAAAAGGGGAAAAAAACCUACCUGCGAAGUCUUGUUUGUAGUUUUGGCCAGAAAUGGUGAGAAGAAAAAGCAUGAAGAAGCCGCGAAGUGUGGGGGAGAAAAAGGUGGAAGCGAAGAAACAGCUCCCGGAGCAAACUGUACAAAACCUCGCCAAGAGUGUCGGGAGG
Molecule: long non-coding RNA, 1696 nt
Filed under: Lynx pardinus (Iberian lynx)
Lineage: Eukaryota; Metazoa; Chordata; Mammalia; Carnivora; Felidae
Rfam family: ZEB2 antisense RNA 1 conserved region 1 (bases 41-168)
Source: RNAcentral